ACCCCCUUAGUGGGAGAGUUGCCACCAGAUCCCAUAAGAACUUGGAGUUAAGCAUGCUCGGGUGGGAGUAGUCCCCAGAUGGGUGACCUCCCUGGGAAGUCCCCGGGUACGUGUGC
RNAcentral lists this ribosomal RNA (116 nucleotides) under Spirodela intermedia. RNAcentral describes it as "5". Lineage: Eukaryota; Viridiplantae; Streptophyta; Magnoliopsida; Alismatales; Araceae. The record is from RNAcentral.